CGGGGCGGGUGAGUAAUGUCUGGGAAACUGCCUGAUGGAGGGGGAUAACUACUGGAAACGGUAGCUAAUACCGCAUAACGUCGCAAGACCAAAGAGGGGGACCUUCGGGCCUCUUGCCAUCGGAUGUGCCCAGAUGGGAUUAGCUAGUAGGUGGGGUAACGGCUCACCUAGGCGACGAUCCCUAGCUGGUCUGAGAGGAUGGCCAGCCACACUGGAACUGAGACACGGUCCAG
Molecule: ribosomal RNA, 233 nt
Filed under: uncultured bacterium
Lineage: Bacteria
Description: partial 16S ribosomal RNA
Rfam family: Bacterial small subunit ribosomal RNA
Source: RNAcentral